Molecule: ribosomal RNA, 468 nt
Filed under: uncultured bacterium
Lineage: Bacteria
Description: partial 16S ribosomal RNA
Rfam family: Bacterial small subunit ribosomal RNA
Source: RNAcentral
GACGAACGCUGGCGGCGUGCUUAACACAUGCAAGUCGAACGGAAAGGCCCUGCUUUUGUGGGGUGCUCGAGUGGCGAACGGGUGAGUAACACGUGAGUAACCUGCCCUUGACUUUGGGAUAACUUCAGGAAACUGGGGCUAAUACCGGAUAGGAGCUCCUGCUGCAUGGUGGGGGUUGGAAAGUUUCGGCGGUUGGGGAUGGACUCGCGGCUUAUCAGCUUGUUGGUGGGGUAGUGGCUUACCAAGGCUUUGACGGGUAGCCGGCCUGAGAGGGUGACCGGCCACAAUGGGACUGAGAGACGGCCCAGACUCCUACGGGAGGCAGCAGUGGGGAAUAUUGCACAAUGGGCGGAAGCCUGAUGCAGCAACGCCGCGUGCGGGAUGACGGCCUACGGGUUGUAAACCGCUUUCGCCUGUGACGAAGCGUGAGUGACGGUAAUGGGUAAAGAAGCACCGGCUAACUACGUG